Molecule: ribosomal RNA, 253 nt
Filed under: uncultured bacterium
Lineage: Bacteria
Description: partial 16S ribosomal RNA
Rfam family: Bacterial small subunit ribosomal RNA
Source: RNAcentral
UACGUAGGUGGCAAGCGUUGUCCGGAUUUACUGGGCGUAAAGGGCGUGCAGGCGGUCUGUUAAGUGCAGGGUGAAAGCUCCCGGCUCAACUGGGAGAGGUCCUUGCAUACUGGCGGACUUGAGGGGGGUAGAGGAAAGUGGAAUUCCCGGUGUAGUGGUGAAAUGCGUAGAUAUCGGGAGGAACACCAGUGGCGAAGGCGACUUCCUGGCCUGUUCUUGACGCUGAGGCGCGAAAGCUAGGGUAGCAAACGGG